This 190-nucleotide RNase P RNA is filed under the name Francisella tularensis subsp. holarctica. Its description in RNAcentral is "partial RNase P RNA component class A". It matches the Rfam family "Bacterial RNase P class A", at positions 1 to 203 of the family's 367-position model. From Rfam's summary of the family: Ribonuclease P (RNase P) is a ubiquitous endoribonuclease, found in archaea, bacteria and eukarya as well as chloroplasts and mitochondria. The record is from RNAcentral. Lineage: Bacteria; Pseudomonadati; Pseudomonadota; Gammaproteobacteria; Thiotrichales; Francisellaceae.
AAAGUCAUUCGGACAGUCGCGCUUAUAAUGAGUGAGGAAAGUCCGGGCUUUACAGAGCAAGAUGCCAGAUACCGUCUGGGAGGCGUGAGCCUACGGAAAGUGCAACAGAAAAUAUACCGCCUUAUUUUUUAAGGGAAGGGUGAAAAGGUGUGGUAAGAGCGCACCGCAUUGGUGGUAACACUCAAUGGCA